AUUGAACGCUGGCGGCAUGCUUUACACAUGCAAGUCGAACGGUAACAGGCCUUCGGGUGCUGACGAGUGGCGAACGGGGGAGUAUUGCAUCGGAACGUGCCCAGAGGAGGGGGAUAACGCAGCGAAAGCUGUGCUAAUACCGCAUGUGAUCUGAGGAUGAAAGAGGGGGACCAGGCAGCAAUGUUUGGCCUCGCGCCUUUGGAGCGGCCGAUGUCAGAUUAGGUAGUUGGUGGGGUAAAGGCCUACCAAGCCGACGAUCUGUAGCUGGUCUGAGAGGACGACCAGCCACACUGGGACUGAGACACGGCCCAGACUCCUACGGGAGGCAGCAGUGGGGAAUUUUGGACAAUGGGCGCAAGCCUGAUCCAGCAAUGCCGCGUGCGGGAAGAAGGCCUUCGGGUUGUAAACCGCUUUUGUACGGAACGAAAAGGCUCUGGCUAAUACCUGGGUCUGAUGACGGUACCGUAAGAAUAAGCACCGGCUAACUACGUG
This 492-nucleotide ribosomal RNA is filed under the name uncultured bacterium. RNAcentral describes it as "partial 16S ribosomal RNA". It matches the Rfam family "Bacterial small subunit ribosomal RNA", at positions 30 to 507 of the family's 1533-position model. The record is from RNAcentral.